RNAcentral lists this small nuclear RNA (19 nucleotides) under Arabidopsis thaliana (thale cress). RNAcentral's name for it is "snRNA_06722". Lineage: Eukaryota; Viridiplantae; Streptophyta; Magnoliopsida; Brassicales; Brassicaceae. The record is from RNAcentral.
AAUAUUGAUAUUUCCAAUA